This is a non-coding RNA of Tetranychus urticae (two-spotted spider mite), 385 nucleotides long. Lineage: Eukaryota; Metazoa; Arthropoda; Arachnida; Trombidiformes; Tetranychidae. The record is from RefSeq and is a predicted model, not a curated record.
UGGUUGAAUCAGAAUCGUGAUUGCAAUUAAUGUGAACUAUCAUGAAAUGCAUUUUGUUGGUAAGUUUAAUCAUAAUAAGUGAAAAACUUUUUGUUCAAUCAACUCAAUAUGUACCAGGUUGCUGGUGGACUGGAUGUCAACCAUCUGACUGGGAUGUUCGAGGAUGUUCUGUGUAUAACAAAACUGAAAAGGCGACGAAAAACUGCGUGACCGAAGGAAAAAAUGGAACGAAAUAUAACUGCUGUGAUUUUGCCAGCAUAAGCACCAAACGUAAUAUGUGUCUAUCGAUAUUUUUCGUUAAUGAGCCAGGAUCAAGUGGAAUAUUCUUAAAAAUGUGUUUUAUUCAUUACAGUAAAUUCAAGUAGAAAUUUUGAUCAGAAUGAUU